This is a long non-coding RNA of Haliotis rubra (blacklip abalone), 2020 nucleotides long. RefSeq lists it as uncharacterized. The transcript is spliced from 3 exons. The record is from RefSeq and is a predicted model, not a curated record. NCBI's taxonomy places the organism in Eukaryota, Metazoa, Mollusca, Gastropoda, Lepetellida, Haliotidae.
AUUCUCGUAGUGUGUCAUGAUGCAUUUUCGUAGUGUGUCCUGAUGCAUUCUCGUAGUGUGUCCUGAUGCAUUCUCGUAGUGUGUCCUGAUGCAUUCUCAUAGUGUGUCAUGAUGCAUUCUCGUAGUGUGUCAUGAUGCAUUCUCAUGUUGCAUUCCCUCGAUGUCUCAUACAUUACAAGGUCUGUCGUCAUGGUGCAUUCUUCUUAUGAUUUUAAAACAAUCCCCAAACCCGCAGUCAAUGAGAAGAAAUCAGUGACCUCAAUCAGCACAAUAAUAUAACCACUCAGAUAACCGCAUUCUGCUAGUGGACGGAAUUUCUUUUGGUUUACGGAAGAUAUUUGAAUGGUUAGUGAAUAUAUGCCUUGGAAUCAUGGACUUUACCUAUAAUGUGUCAGGUUCAGUCUUAGUGGGCACACACACACUCACUCACUCACUCACCCAAGCACUCACUCACCCAAGCACUCACUCACUCAAGCACUAACUCACCCACCAACAUGGAAUGAGUCAAUGCUGAACUGCAUUAAAGUGUAAUACAAAGAGGGAUGUGUGACGCCCAGAUAUUACUAAAAGCGGCAUAAAACCGAACUUGCACUCAAAUAUCUUGUACACUGUUACUGCUGCACUGUAGGUAUGGUUGGUGUACACAUGUGUAUAUCAAUUAAAUAUGCUACCUGUCCUCACCUGUUUCAGAAACAAAGACAUACAUACUUACCCUGAUUUGACUGGAAAUGUUGGUGUUUGUGCUACCUUCCUUUGUAUUUACUAUCCGGUAUCUGUGUGUGGGAUGAAUAUCUCUGUCAGCCAAGCUCCUACUUAAAGGUGUUCAGUGUGUUAAGUGUUCAUGUAUGAUCUCAUGUUGAAUACUGUACCAAUACUGGCAGGUCCCCAGCUCCCUAUGCUUGUCACAGGAGGUAGUUCAGUUUGAUUGGAUAGCCAGGUUAUGUGAUGGGCUUGACGUUAUUCCACCCUGCGAACUCGUCAUUGCUCAUAACAUCAACCACUAGGUUCUCAGGUAUAGAGUCGGUUUCUUUAAAGGUUGCACUGAUAAAUGAGUUUGGUGUAACAUGACAAACAUGCAUGUAUUGAAAAUGUUUAAGUGAUUUCUUUCAUUUCUUGAGACAGAAAUAUGCACAUUAUUAAUUCCAUAUCAUUUAGUUGUGUUUCCUUAUAGUUUCUCCAACUACUCAAUCAUUCACAACCAUUUUGAGGAGCAAAAACAUAGCAACAAAUUCCAUCCUUUUAAUUAAAUGAGUUUUAAUGUGAUCUGCAGUCUUUUAGCAUCUUUUACAUUGUUUCACAUUUUUACAUUUGAUUAUUUGCAUGUGCUUCAUGAUUUUCACAUCAUCCCACACCUUGUACCUUUACAAGAACUGGCCGAUGUUGUUUCUGUAGAAAUGUAAUGAACAUACCUUGUAUGUGCCAAGUUGAAUAUAUCAUAGUUGUGAUGCCAUCUGCAUUCAUUAAGUGAUAAUCAGCCAUUCUCAUGUUCUCAGAUGAAAUGUGAAAAGACACUCAAUGAAAGUAUUCAUGUAACAUUAGCAGGUCCAUGUUGUUCAUGCAUAUAUAGAGCAGGGUGUGUUCCAGGUAGGAAUGAUGUGACAGGACAGGUGAGCAGGGUGUACAUGUAUCAGGGUGUGUUCCAGGUAGGAAGGAUGUGACAGGACAGGUGUACAUGUAUAGAGCAGGGUGUGUUCCAGGUAGGAAGGAUGUGACAGGACAGGUGUACAUGUAUAGACAGGUGUACAUGUAUAGACAGGUGUACAUGUAUAGAGCAGGGUGUGUUCCAGGUAGGAAGGAUGUGACAGGACAGGUGUACAUGUAUAGACAGGUGUACAUGUAUAGAGCAGGGUGUGUUCCAGGUAGGAAGGAUGUGACAGGACAGGUGUACAUGUAUAGACAGGUGUACAUGUAUAGAGCAGGGUGUGUUCCAGGUAGGAAGGAUGUGACAGGACAGGUGUACAUGUAUAGACAGGUGUACAUGUAUAGAGCAGGGUGUGUUCCAGGUAGGAAGGAUGUGACC